CCUACGGGGUGCAGCAGUGGGGGAUAUUGCACAAUGGGGGGAACCCUGAUGCAGCGACGCCGCGUGGGUGAAGAAGCGCCUCGGCGCGUAAAGCCCUGUCAGCAGGGAAGAAAAUGACGGUACCUGAAGAAGAAGCCCCGGCUAACUACGUGCCAGCAGCCGCGGUAAUACGUAGGGGGCAAGCGUUAUCCGGAUUUACUGGGUGGAAAGGGGGCGCAGACGGCGAUGCAAGCCAGGAGUGAAAGCCCGGGGCCCAACCCCGGGACUGCUCUUGGAACUGCGUGGCUGGAGUGCAGGAGGGGUAAGCGGAAUUCCUAGUGUAGCGGUGAAAUGCGUAGAUAUUAGGAGGAACACCAGUGGCGAAGGCGGCUGACUGGACUGUAACUGACGUUGAGGCUCGAAAGCGUGGGGAGCAAACAGGAUUAGAUACCCUUGUAGUC
This 440-nucleotide ribosomal RNA is filed under the name uncultured bacterium. Its description in RNAcentral is "partial 16S ribosomal RNA". It matches the Rfam family "Bacterial small subunit ribosomal RNA", at positions 338 to 795 of the family's 1533-position model. The record is from RNAcentral.